GUAGGUGGCAAGCGUUGUCCGGAAUUAUUGGGCGUAAAGCGCGCGCAGGCGGUCCUUUAAGUCUGAUGUGAAAGCCCACGGGCUCAACCGUGGAGGGUCAUUGGAAACUGAGGGACUUGAGUACAGAAGAGGAAAGCGGAAUUCCAUGUGUAGCGGUGAAAUGCGUAGAGAUGUGGAGGAACACCAGUGGCGAAGGCGGCUUUCUGGUCUGUAACUGACGCUGAGGCGCGAAAGCGUGGGGAGCAAACAGGAUUAGAUACCCUGGUAGUCCACGCCGUAAACGAUGAGUGCUAAGUGUUAGGGGAUUUCCACCCCUUAAUACUGCAGCUAACGCAUUAAGCACUCCGCCUGGGGAGUACGACCGCAAGGUUG
Molecule: ribosomal RNA, 372 nt
Filed under: uncultured organism
Description: partial 16S ribosomal RNA
Rfam family: Bacterial small subunit ribosomal RNA
Source: RNAcentral